This 75-nucleotide transfer RNA is filed under the name Candidatus Bathyarchaeota archaeon. Its description in RNAcentral is "tRNA-Met". It matches the Rfam family "tRNA". Rfam says of the family: Transfer RNA (tRNA) molecules are approximately 80 nucleotides in length. Their secondary structure includes four short double-helical elements and three loops (D, anti-codon, and T loops). Further hydrogen bonds mediate the characteristic L-shaped molecular structure. tRNAs have two regions of fundamental functional importance: the anti-codon, which is responsible for specific mRNA codon recognition, and the 3' end, to which the tRNAs corresponding amino acid is attached (by aminoacyl-tRNA synthetases). tRNAs cope with the degeneracy of the genetic code in two manners: having more than one tRNA (with a specific anti-codon) for a particular amino acid; and 'wobble' base-pairing, i.e. permitting non-standard base-pairing at the 3rd anti-codon position. RNAcentral also lists the same sequence under 4 other names. The record is from RNAcentral. Lineage: Archaea; Thermoproteati; Candidatus Bathyarchaeota.
GCCGGGGUAGCCUAGCCUGGAAUGGGCGCCAGACUCAUAAUCUGGAGGUCGCGGGCUCAAAUCCCGCCCCCGGCA